AUACGGUUACCCCCUUUGCCUAGAAUUAUCACACCUAAAGGGAUGAAAUCCCUAAAGCUCUCCCAAUGGGCACGAUUCAGCCUCCAAGUGAGGUGGUGGAGGUUCGCGACGGCUUAUGGUGGCUCGGAGGUCUGUUGGUGGCGACGGAAAUUUCAAGGGAGUUCACGGUCUCCUCUCUCUCUUUUGAAGUUGCAGUGAUUCGGUUCUUCUCUCGGAUGGCUUGCGGUGGUUCUGUUGGCGGGGAUAUAAUCACGAUUGGGGUCAUCUCCUCCUCUUUUCCUCCUUUUGGUGGUGACAGAGGUUCAGGUCGCGGUGGUUUAAUGGAUUCAGGAUGGAAGAAUGGUAUCUCUUGAGGUAGGGGUUUACGGUGGUUCGGUAAUCCAUUCUCGCAGUGGCUUAAGGUGGUUCCGAAUCGGUAAUUUAUUAUUGCGGUGGCUCACGGUGGCUCCGAGUCGAAGGUGAACUCACCUUCUUCUUUACUUUUUAUUUUUUAUCCAGUCUAUUCGUCUCUUUCCUUUCGUUUUUACUUUUCGUUUUAUGAAUCGAUGGCUUUGGCAUCUGUUAUUGCUUCCUUCUUUUCGAAUAGAUGAUUUUCUAAUUAUGCUCAUAUGCAGGGUGAAACAUUAUUUAAGAUGUUUAUCGAACCAGGAUAGUGGCCCUUGUUCUUGCGCUGGUAAUGACGGAAAUGUCGUUGGCCCGUGAGUAAUUGCUCUUGGGCUGUCCGGCAGUAGUGAGUAUUAGCUUCGCUAAGGACUUUUCACACAAAGUGAUAUCAACACGAGUUGGUAUUUUUUACUUUAACAACUGUCCAAUGCUCCAAAAUAUGUGUGUUAGAUGUAUGUAUCUUAUUUGAUAUAUAGGUUAUCCUAAGGGUAUUCUACUUGUAAUUAUGUAAUGAAAAUGAUAGUUGUCUUACCUGAAUGUGUUCCUAUCUACACAUUGCUUUUACUGACUCCCUGCUGAGUUCCUGCUUUUUGUUCUCCGGUUCCUGCCUUUUGUUCUAUGGUUCCUUCCUUUUGUUCUAUGGUUCCUGCCUUCAUGAUAUGAGAAUAUAAGGAUUUUAGACUUUUUGUUAGGCAUAAUGACAUGAUUGUUUAACAAAUAAUAUUAAGGACUUAAGAUUAAUUAAAACAAAUAGUUAAGAUCUGCUCAAUCUUUCUUAUUUUUGUGCUCUCUUUUUUCACGGAGUGCCCAGGUUUUUUUGACAAUCUGUAUGUUAUUAUCUCUUUUCUGAAACUUCUCUCCUUUUGUGUGUAUCUCUUAUAUCUCUUUUUCUUUGUACUUAUGCUGCUAUAUGACCAGUUUUUUGCUCUGUUUUCGAUUGUCCUCCCCUUUUCUUUUGACUGAGUGCCCCCUUUAUAAUGCUUGUGAAAGAUCUUUUGGUUUUCCCAAAUAAUAACCAGAAACGUACACAACCCUUUUACUUUCUGAUUAUUCCCUCUAUUGGCGGGGAUAUAAUCACGAUUGGGGUCAUCUCCUCCUCUUUUCCUCCUUUCGGUGGUGACAGAGGUUCGGGUCGCGGUGGUUUAAUGGAUUCAGGAUGGAAGAAUGGUAUCUCUUGAGGUAGGGGUUUACGGUGGUUCGGUAAUCCAUUCUCGCAGUGGCUUAAGGUGGUUCCGAAUCGGUAAUUUAUUAUUGCGGUGGCUCACGGUGGCUCCGAGUCGAAGGUGAACUCACCUUCUUCUUUACUUUUUAUUUUUUAUCCAGUCUAUUCGUCUCUUUCCUUUCGUUUUUACUUUUCGUUUUAUGAAUCGAUGGCUUUGGCAUCUGUUAUUGCUUCCUUCUUUUCGAAUAGAUGAUUUUCUAAUUAUGCUCAUAUGCAGGGUGAAACAUUAUUUAAGAUGUUUAUCGAACCAGGAUAGUGGCCCUUGUUCUUGCGCUGGUAAUGACGGAAAUGUCGUUGGCCCGUGAGUAAUUGCUCUUGGGCUGUCCGGCAGUAGUGAGUAUUAGCUUCGCUAAGGACUUUUCACACAAAGUGAUAUCAACACGAGUUGGUAUUUUUUACUUUAACAACUGUCCAAUGCUCCAAAAUAUGUGUGUUAGAUGUAUGUAUCUUAUUUGAUAUAUAGGUUAUCCUAAGGGUAUUCUACUUGUAAUUAUGUAAUGAAAAUGAUAGUUGUCUUA
This 2124-nucleotide long non-coding RNA is filed under the name Lupinus angustifolius (narrow-leaved blue lupine). RNAcentral describes it as "long non-coding RNA (LANG_LNC001580)". Lineage: Eukaryota; Viridiplantae; Streptophyta; Magnoliopsida; Fabales; Fabaceae. The record is from RNAcentral.